RNAcentral lists this ribosomal RNA (444 nucleotides) under uncultured archaeon. Its description in RNAcentral is "bacterial SSU rRNA". It matches the Rfam family "Archaeal small subunit ribosomal RNA", at positions 1 to 450 of the family's 1478-position model. The record is from RNAcentral.
UUCCGGUUGAUCCCGCCGGAGGCUACUGCUAUUGGGAUUCGACUAAGCCAUGCGAGUCAAGGUGUCUUCGGACGCCGGCGUACGGCUCAGUAACACGUAGGUAACCUACCCUCAGGACUGAGAUAACCCCGGGAAACUGGGGCUAAUAUUAGAUAGAUAAAAGGUACUGGAAUGUUCUUUUAUCCAAAGCUUUUGCGCCUGAGGAUGGGCCUGCGUCCGAUUAGGUUGUUGGUGGGGUAAUGGCCCACCAAGCCUGCGAUCGGUACGGGCAGUGAGAGCUGAAGCCCGGAGUUGGGGACUGAGACAAGGCCCCAGGCCCUACGGGGCGCAGCAGGCGCGAAACCUCUGCAAUGCGGGAAACCGUGACAGGGGGAUCCCAAGUGCUCAUGCAUUGCAUGGGCUGUUCUUUGGUCUAAGUAACCAGAGGAGUAAGGGCCGGGCAAG